CGUAGGUGGCGAGCGUUAUCCGGAAUCAUUGGGCGUAAAGAGGGAGCAGGCGGCCGCAAGGGUCUGUGGUGAAAGACCGAAGCUAAAACUUCGGUAAGCCAUGGAAACCGGGCGGCUAGAGUGCGGAAGAGGAUCGUGGAAUUCCAUGUGUAGCGGUGAAAUGCGUAGAUAUAUGGAGGAACACCAGUGGCGAAGGCGACGGUCUGGGCCGCAACUGACGCUCAUUCCCGAAAGCGUGGGGAGCAAAUAGGAUU
Molecule: ribosomal RNA, 254 nt
Filed under: uncultured bacterium
Lineage: Bacteria
Description: partial 16S ribosomal RNA
Rfam family: Bacterial small subunit ribosomal RNA
Source: RNAcentral